UCCCUGAAGCACGUGCUGUUAGGGAGGCAUUGCCUAACAAGUGAAAUGCACAGCUGGAUAGUCAGGUGAGGCUCUGUGACCCUCCCCACCCCUCUACGAGGAGCUGUAAACAGUCAACAGGGGGCCAACUGGAUGAUCUCUGGUCUUGUGCUAAGGAUAUAAAGAGAAAGCUGGAACACAUCUGGAUCUGGGACACUGAUGACCUUGUGCCAUGUCAGUCCUGAACUAGUUACCUCGGAGUUUUCUUUAAGAACCGAACUAUUUAAGCUACUGUUAAUUUAGGAAGCCUUUAAUUCACAAAAGCACUGCUGGGCUGGAGCUGUGACAGUCAUCUCUGAAAAUCUGCUACACCAGGAUACCAAAGAAGAUAGGAACAAAAGCACAGCGUCCUGAUGGUGCUUAGCUUAGAAACAGGACACCAUGCCAAGCAAUCACCAUCUUGGAGAGUUCAGCUGCACCUCCACCACCACUGCCCCCCACCACGCACACAGGCAUGAUCAUUCCAGCUGUUCUGGUUGACUGUUUAUUACCCAUCUCCAUAGAAGAGCCCAGAAGGGCACACGAUUCUUACCCGAGUCUCCAGCUGCUCCUACCACCUGGUGUAUAUAGAGGUAGGGAAAUAAGUAUGGCUGGGGCUCCAUCUAUACAGCUAUGGGGAAGUCCUCAUACCUGCUGGCUAAAGCUUCUGAGGUGCAGUCAGUUCGUUGAGGGAUACCCACACGCCUAUAAGUAGUCCCUCACCUAUGAAAUAUAGGCAUUGGUUCACCAGAGUGAACUUUUGGGACUCGUGCCUCAGUUUGUCAUUGAGACCUUAGGAGAAG
Long non-coding RNA from Peromyscus eremicus (cactus mouse), 821 nucleotides. RefSeq lists it as uncharacterized. The record is from RefSeq and is a predicted model, not a curated record. NCBI's taxonomy places the organism in Eukaryota, Metazoa, Chordata, Mammalia, Rodentia, Cricetidae. The transcript is spliced from 4 exons.